GAGUUUGAUCCUGGCUCAGGAUGAACGCUAGCUACAGGCUUAACACAUGCAAGUCGAGGGGCAGCGGUAUCGAAAGCUUGCUUUCGGUAGCCGGCGACCGGCGCACGGGUGAGUAACGCGUAUCGAACCUGCCUCAUACUCGGGAAUAGCCUUGCGAAAGUAAGAUUAAUGCCCGGUGUUUUCAGAGUCCCGCAUGAGGCUUUGAACAAAGAUUUAUCGGUAUGAGAUGGCGAUGCGUCCCAUUAGCUUGUUGGCGGGGUAACGGCCCACCAAGGCAUCGAUGGGUAGGGGUUCUGAGAGGAAGGUCCCCCACAUUGGAACUGAGACACGGUCCAAACUCCUACGGGAGGCAGCAGUGAGGAAUAUUGGUCAAUGGGCGGAAGCCUGAACCAGCCAAGUAGCGUGCAGGAAGACGGCCCUCCGGGUUGUAAACUGCUUUUAGUUGGGAAUAAAACGGGGCUCGUGAGCCCCCUUGCAUGUACCAUCAGAAAAAGGACCGGCUAAUUCCGUGCCAGCAGCCGCGGUAAUACGGAAGGUCCGGGCGUUAUCCGGAUUUAUUGGGUUUAAAGGGAGCGCAGGCGGACCUUUAAGUCAGCUGUGAAAUACGGCGGCUCAACCGUCGAACUGCAGUUGAUACUGGAGGUCUUGAGUGCACACAGGGAUGCUGGAAUUCAUGGUGUAGCGGUGAAAUGCUCAGAUAUCAUGAAGAACUCCGAUCGCGAAGGCAGGCAUCCGGGGUGCAACUGACGCUGAGGCUCGAAAGUGCGGGUAUCAAACAGGAUUAGAUACCCUGGUAGUCCGCACAGUAAACGAUGAAUACUCGCGGUUUGCGAUACAAUGUAAGCCGCCAAGCGAAAGCGUUAAGUAUUCCACCUGGGGAGUACGCCGGCAACGGUGA
This 898-nucleotide ribosomal RNA is filed under the name uncultured bacterium. RNAcentral describes it as "bacterial SSU rRNA". It matches the Rfam family "Bacterial small subunit ribosomal RNA", at positions 9 to 897 of the family's 1533-position model. The record is from RNAcentral.